CAUGCAAGUCGAGCGAACAGACAAGGAGCUUGCUCCUUUGACGUUAGCGGCGGACGGGUGAGUAACACGUGGGUAACCUACCUAUAAGACUGGGAUAACUUCGGGAAACCGGAGCUAAUACCGGAUAAUAUUUCGAACCGCAUGGUUCGAUAGUGAAAGAUGGUUUUGCUAUCACUUAUAGAUGGACCCGCGCCGUAUUAGCUAGUUGGUAAGGUAACGGCUUACCAAGGCGACGAUACGUAGCCGACCUGAGAGGGUGAUCGGCCACCUGGAACUGAGACACGGUCCAGACUCCUACGGGA
RNAcentral lists this ribosomal RNA (302 nucleotides) under Staphylococcus haemolyticus. Its description in RNAcentral is "bacterial SSU rRNA". It matches the Rfam family "Bacterial small subunit ribosomal RNA", at positions 54 to 346 of the family's 1533-position model. Lineage: Bacteria; Bacillati; Bacillota; Bacilli; Caryophanales; Staphylococcaceae. The record is from RNAcentral.